UGGUGCUUGCAUCAUGAUUUACAUUCCCCUUUUUGGCGAACUGGUGAGUAACACGUGGGAAACCUGCCCAGAAGCGGGGGAUAACACCUGGAAACAGAUGCUAAUACCGCAUAACAACUUGGACCGCAUGGUCCGAGUUUGAAAGAUGGCUUCGGCUAUCACUUUUGGAUGGUCCCGCGGCGUAUUAGCUAGAUGGUGGGGUAACGGCUCACCAUGGCAAUGAUACGUAGCCGACCUGAGAGGGUAAUCGGCCACAUUGGGACUGAGACACGGCCCAAACUCCUACGGGAGGCAGCAGUAGGGAAUCUUCCACAAUGGACGAAAGUCUGAUGGAGCAACGCCGCGUGAGUGAAGAAGGGUUUCGGCUCGUAAAACUCUGUUGUUAAAGAAGAACAUAUCUGAGAGUAACUGUUCAGGUAUUGACGGUAUUUAACCAGAAAGCCACGGCUAACUACGUGCCAGCAGCCGCGGUAAUACGUAGGUGGCAAGCGUUGUCCGGAUUUAUUGGGCGUAAAGCGAGCGCAGGCGGUUUUUUAAGUCUGAUGUGAAAGCCUUCGGCUCAACCGAAGAAGUGCAUCGGAAACUGGGAAACUUGAGUGCAGAAGAGGACAGUGGAACUCCAUGUGUAGCGGUGAAAUGCGUAGAUAUAUGGAAGAACACCAGUGGCGAAGGCGGCUGUCUGGUCUGUAACUGACGCUGAGGCUCGAAAGUAUGGGUAGCAAACAGGAUUAGAUACCCUGGUAGUCCAUACCGUAAACGAUGAAUGCUAAGUGUUGGAGGGUUUCCGCCCUUCAGUGCUGCAGCUAACGCAUUAAGCAUUCCGCCUGGGGAGUACGGCCGCAAGGCUGAAACUCAAAGGAAUUGACGGGGGCCCGCACAAGCGGUGGAGCAUGUGGUUUAAUUCGAAGCUACGCGAAGAACCUUACCAGGUCUUGACAUACUAUGCAAAUCUAAGAGAUUAGACGUUCCCUUCGGGGACAUGGAUACAGGUGGUGCAUGGUUGUCGUCAGCUCGUGUCGUGAGAUGUUGGGUUAAGUCCCGCAACGAGCGCAACCCUUAUUAUCAGUUGCCAGCAUUAAGUUGGGCACUCUGGUGAGACUGCCGGUGACAAACCGGAGGAAGGUGGGGAUGACGUCAAAUCAUCAUGCCCCUUAUGACCUGGGCUACACACGUGCUACAAUGGAUGGUACAACGAGUUGCGAACUCGCGAGAGUAAGCUAAUCUCUUAAAGCCAUUCUCAGUUCGGAUUGUAGGCUGCAACUCGCCUACAUGAAGUCGGAAUCGCUAGUAAUCGCGGAUCAGCAUGCCGCGGUGAAUACGUUCCCGGGCCUUGUACACACCGCCCGUCACACCAUGAGAGUUUGUAACACCCAAAGUCGGUGGGGUAACCUUUUAGGAACCA
This 1402-nucleotide ribosomal RNA is filed under the name Lactiplantibacillus plantarum. Its description in RNAcentral is "bacterial SSU rRNA". It matches the Rfam family "Bacterial small subunit ribosomal RNA". The record is from RNAcentral. Lineage: Bacteria; Bacillati; Bacillota; Bacilli; Lactobacillales; Lactobacillaceae.